UAAUUUGUUUUGAACAAAUCCACAUCUACGUAUGACAUACUCAUAUUUAACUGCUCAAAAUCAUCUGUUAUCGUAAAACUGACUACUUCAUUGACACUCAUAAAACAUAUUCGGAAGAAAAAGUUUAUAAAAUCAUGGU
Populus trichocarpa (black cottonwood) is the source of this 139-nucleotide non-coding RNA. NCBI's taxonomy places the organism in Eukaryota, Viridiplantae, Streptophyta, Magnoliopsida, Malpighiales, Salicaceae. The record is from Rfam.